This 1196-nucleotide long non-coding RNA is filed under the name Equus asinus (donkey). RNAcentral's name for it is "lncRNA (ENSEASG00005030237.1)". The record is from RNAcentral. Lineage: Eukaryota; Metazoa; Chordata; Mammalia; Perissodactyla; Equidae.
CACCUUGCUGUGGAGUGUAUUGGAUUCUGGGCUCUCUCCGCUCAAGUGCUACUGACAAAUGCUCGAGAAUGGCCCAGCACACCUUGGACCCAGUGACGUCCUCUGGUCAGAAACUCCAGCACGGGGGUCCUCCUGAAGUGGACGCGGAGAGCAAGUUUAUUGAGACUCCAGUGUCAAUGUCGGGUUGGACGCUGUGUCCAACAGCCUCCCACGGUCUGGUCAUCAAAGCAAGAGGGUCACCCUUCUCCUUCCCCUUGUCCUUCGAGUUUUCCUUCCCGUACGUGCCACACGCCUGGGUCCCCUCGCCUGCCCGGAAAUUCCUCUCCAUCCGCUGGCCCAGCGAAGAGUUCUGACAGGAACAUUCUAGCUGCUGGGCUGUCUGCACACCACCAACCCCCAGGAUGGGCUCCUCAUUACCAGUGGGGCGGGUGAUAAGCAAUCCCGCACCAAGACCCUGUCUUAGCACCUGCUUUUUGGACCACUCGAGAAGCAACCGUCUCAGGUGGAAUACUUCAGGAAGCUUCCCCCGAGAGGGAGUGAGGUGUGCCAAAGGCUGACUGGAGACUAACACCCACGAAGGGAGCAGGGUGAAGCAGGGCUGGACAGGGUGUCCCUUCAGCCUGCAACGCCGAGCUGACAGUCUCUCCCAGCCCAUCGGGGAGCUGCAGAGCAGGGAUCGGCCUUUGAGGACCCGCACUCGGCCGGGUGGUCAGACCCUCACUGUGCCUGAGGCCUUGCAAUCCAGGUGGACCGAACGGGUCAAUCAACACCCAGAAUUGGUGCCCCAGGAAUGCGUGCAUACCAAGUAGCACACAUAGGGCGCCAGGUGCCUUUCCUCGGGCAAAACCGUGCUCCACACUGCGGCCGGCCUGGUGGGGGGUGUUUCGGCCUCUUGUGUGUCAGGAGACUGCUGGGUUCAGAAGCUGGUGUGCUUCCAGGGCGUUUGCCAGCUUGGCGUCUCUUAGCAUCGCUGUAAGCCCAGGCUGAUGGGAGAGGGCAGACCUGGGUAGGGAACAGCACAGGGCAAAGCAGAGUUGUCAGCAGCCACCCGUCCUGUAAGAGGCUCCUUGACGAUGCAGGUCCACAGGCGCACUCAGCUCUGCGUCCCUCAGGGCUGGUGGGGGCAUCUUCCAGGCAGUCCUGUAAACCACCUGAUCUGAAUCGAGGCCCUAUGGGGUCAGGAAAACGUGAAGGGG